AACGCAGGCGGUUUGGUAAGUCAGAGGUGAAAGACCACAGCUUAACUGUGGCACUGCCUUUGAUACUGCCUUUCUUGAGUAGAGUAGGGGGAAGCGGAAUUCCGAGUGUAGAGGUGAAAUUCGUAGAUAUUCGGAGGAACACCGGUGGCGAAGGCGGCUUCCUGGACUCUAACUGACGCUCAUGUUCGAAAGCGUGGGUAGCAAACAGGAUUAGAUACCCUGGUAGUCCACGCCCUAAACGAUGGGCACUAGGUGUGGGAGGUAUCGACCCCUUCCGUGCCGCAGCUAACGCAUUAAGUGCCCCGCCUGGGGAGUACGGCCGCAAGGUUGAA
This 332-nucleotide ribosomal RNA is filed under the name uncultured bacterium. RNAcentral's name for it is "bacterial SSU rRNA". It matches the Rfam family "Bacterial small subunit ribosomal RNA", at positions 568 to 898 of the family's 1533-position model. The record is from RNAcentral.